This is a long non-coding RNA of Nerophis lumbriciformis (worm pipefish), 1240 nucleotides long. RefSeq lists it as uncharacterized. NCBI's taxonomy places the organism in Eukaryota, Metazoa, Chordata, Actinopteri, Syngnathiformes, Syngnathidae. The record is from RefSeq and is a predicted model, not a curated record.
CAGCAGAAACUGUUUUUAACCGCUCGGCACCGCACACUAUUGAACCUUAAUUGUGAAUGAAAAGAAAAUAGAAAGCGUUUAAGUGACGCUGUUUUGGUUUUGUUUAUGGAUUUGGGUUUGAGCCAACAGUUUGAUGCAUGCAUGAAUUUGUUUGUUUACUUUCACAUAUCAUACACUCGCAACACACAUAUUUCAUUAGUUCAUUAGCUCAUUCAAACACUCACCCACUACAAACUGACCAUCUUCAAGCAAAACGACAACAAAUGAAACCCAAGCUGGUGUCCUGGGUCUGCUUCAGUGCUGGAUGCAGGCAGGGGGCGUCUGGUGGCAGCAGUCUGAUGCGGGCGUGCAGCUGCUGAUAGACUUCCGAGCUUGAAAGAUGCUUCACAUGUUCAAAGAGGAGACAUAUCACUAUAACUGUCUCUGCAUCCUGGAGUCACGCCAACAACGCCAACACCGUGAAUAACUACCAUCCACUACUCAUUUAAAUCCUUCGGUCUUAUGCUCCGGUUGUGUCCAAAGACUUCUUCCCAGUGUUUGUCAACAAUAACAGAAACAUGUUAUUGUUAUUAUGUGUUACAAACAAAUCCGUCAGUCGUCAUUAAUCUUAGACUUUGACGUUUUACUGAGAGAAAAAGGUCAUUCACAUAUGUUUACACUUUGACCAUCAGGAAUGGUAAAAUGCUCAAGUUACAUUGUCAUGAAGGCAAACAGAUGAUUUCUAUUUCUGGGGCAAAUUGUUUUAAAAGCCUAUCAAAAUGGACCGAUACUGUUGGACCUUGGAUUCUGAGGUCCUUAAUGUGUCUUGUAUCGGCAUUUGUGACUUUGAUGUUAAAUCCAAGUCAAACACACACAUUUCCCUAACACACACACACACACACACACACACACACACGCGCACACACACUCGUACAUAAACUUGUUAUCUUAAGUUCAAAGCAGAGCCCGGGUGUCUCUCUUCUUCCGUGAAGAGGCUUAGCCAACCCUUGGAAAAUGCUUUUAUGAUAAGAGCUAAUUGUACCGGCGUGAUUGAUAUCGAGCCGUUUAAGACCUAAUCACACUGACCUUUUCCUACUGCUGGGGAAUGCUCAGAUUUUGCCAGGAAGAACAAAUGCACGGCUCCAUUGUUCUGAUCAUCUGUUAAUAGCAACACAUUUUAGGGGUGUGACGAUACAACAGGAUGGCACGAUAUUUCGCCACACUCCUAAUGAGUGAAAGUCUCAAUAAAAUAAAAUAUUUU